CAAUAGCGUAUAUUAAAGUUGUUGCAGUUAAAAAGCUCGUAGUUGGAUUUGUGGUUCGUCCCGCCGGCUGGGUCAUUGACUUUUGCUGUGCUGGUCGUCCAUCCUUGGGUGGAAUCUGUGUGGCAUUAGGUUGUCGCGCAGGGGAUGCCCAUCGUUUACUGUGAAAAAAUUAGAGUGUUCAAAGCAGGCUUAUGCCGUUGAAUAUAUUAGCAUGGAAUAAUGAUAUAGGACCUUGGUACUAUUUUGUUGGUUUGCGCACUGAGGUAAUGAUUAAUAGGGACAGUUGGGGGUAUUCGUAUUCCAUUGUAAGAGGUGAAAUUCUUGGAUUUUUGGAAGACGAACUACUGCGAAAGCAUUUGCCAAGGAUGUUUUCAUUAA
Molecule: ribosomal RNA, 378 nt
Filed under: uncultured eukaryote
Lineage: Eukaryota
Description: partial 18S ribosomal RNA
Rfam family: Eukaryotic small subunit ribosomal RNA
Source: RNAcentral